Molecule: long non-coding RNA, 4561 nt
Filed under: Prunus persica (peach)
Lineage: Eukaryota; Viridiplantae; Streptophyta; Magnoliopsida; Rosales; Rosaceae
Description: long non-coding RNA (PPER_LNC008202)
Source: RNAcentral
AAUUUGAAGAGGGUGGAAAAAGAUGAGUGGAAAGUGAAUGAGAAGAAAUAGCAUGUAAUAACAUACUAUAAGGUACAAACCCUUUGACAUAUUUUAAUCAUUGUUGUAAAUAUAUAUGGUGGAGCCCACCUCUUACCUAUAAAUAAGCCCCCUCCCCUUCUCUUUGUAAUAACAGAGAUGAGAUUGUAAACACACAGAAAUGAAUGAGAAUACAUUCCCUUCUCUCUCUCUCUCAAUUCUCUCCAAAUUCUCCAGAUUUAUAACACGUUAUCAGCACGAAUUCGCUAAAACAAUACCAGCUGAAUUCUCUGAUGAAACCCAGAUCGCCUCAACGCUCUCUCUCUCUCUCUGACCUCAAAACCAAAAUUUCAGUUUCCAAAGCUCAUAGCAAGACCCAAAAGUGACCAAAUCAGCCAUGGAAAAUGGGGCUGUGAACCAGCAAAUACCAGUGGACACAACUUCUGCAACAAUCACCAUAAAAAGGCAUCCUGAGCUUGCUGUUGCAGAAGGUUGAUGAAAAUGAUAACAAAAGGCUGGCGACCCAACUGCCUAUUCUUGCUUCCACACAACCCAAGUGGCUCAAGAAGCUGUUGUUGAUGCUAUCCAAUCUGACAAGUUCAACGGCUAUGCUCCUACUGUUGGCCUUCCUCUUAAAAUCCCAAAUCCUCGGCUCUGCUUCCCAAGGCUCACUAGACAUGAAGUGCUUCUCUUCAUGGUCGUGCAGGAUCAGCAUCUGCUUCUCCAAGUCUGCAUACCCAUUUUGAUUUUGAUUUGCCAUUUUUGUUUAACUACUUUACUGAGUCUCUAGCAUAGUAGCCGACAAUGGGAAAGCAAAGUUGAUUGGCAGACAAAGUGGGAAAGCAAACUUGAUUGGCAGACAAAGUGGGAAAGCAAAAUUGAUUGCCAGCACUUUCGUUAUGUGCAAUCCGAGCUCUCAGUCCACACACCGAUAAAGAAAAGCAAACUCAGCAAGGGCACUGACCCUAAAGUAGCGAUAAGAUCUCUGCUCCCUGAUCUUCCCUAUUAUUUCUUAUUAUAUUUAUCUGCUUUUCUUUUACUAACCAUUAACAGAAAUGGACCCUUGGUAAUACUAAACAUAUUAUCAGUGGGAGACCGUUACUAAUACUAACAUUUUUCUUAUUUUAUUCGGUGGUGAUUUUUAACCCCAUAUUUAUUUUAUUUACUGUAUGGUGUAGGUUUAUUACCCAUACAACAGCAUUUAUUUAAAAGGGUGGUGCGGGUUUAUCGUCCACGCCUUUACUUUUAUUUAAAUGUAUGGAGCAGAAUUAGUGCCCAUACAAGCACCUUUACUUUACUGCAAAUUUACUUUACCGCACAUUUAUUUUAUUUACUGUAUGGUGUAGGUUUAUUACCCAUACAACCAGUAUUUAUUUAAAAGGGUGGUGCGGGUUUAUCGUCCACGCCUUUACUUUUAUUUAAAUGUAUGGAGCAUAAUUAGUGUCCAUACAAGCACAAUUUACUUUACCGCACAUUUAAUUUUAUUUAAAGUAUGGUGCGGGAUUAACGUCCAUACAGCAAGCAAUUUAAUUUAUGAAUUUAUUUUACCGCACAUUUACAUUUAUUUAAAAGGGUGGUGCGGGUUUAUCGUCCACGCCUUUACUUUUAUCUAAAUGUAUGGAGCAGAAUUAAUGCCCAUACAAGCACCUUAACUUUAUGAAUUUAAUUUACCGCACAUUUACAUUUAUUUAAAGUGUGGUGCGGGUUUAUCGUCCAUACCAGUAAUUUAUUUACCAGCAAUUUAUUUUAUGGAUUAAAUGUGCUGUAUGGUGAGUUUUUUUUUACAAUAUGCAGAUCAGGACCAGAAGUUCCUUGAUCCUCAUCAUACAAUUACAUCAGGACUUGAAGAUCCUUGAUGAUGAUAUUAAUAUGAGAGCUGGCAGUCUCUCCGGUACUGUAUUUGUAAACAUGUGAUCGAAAUUAAGGGUCCUUGAUCCCUGACAUGUAAAUAAGGACCUAGAGUUCCUUAAUGAUGUAACAGUACCGUAUUGGUUCAUAGUGCCGUACACAUUGAUGAUAACUGUACUGGCAGAUGAAUAGAUACGUAUUCAUGACUUGAUGAAUAGUACUAUUCACAUGAAUAGUGACGUAUGCAUAAAUAUGAACCAUUUUGGAUAAACCGUCACUAUAUACAAAAGGGAACCUACAGUUUCAUGGUGCCGUACACAUUGAUGAUAACUGUACUGGCAGAUGAAUAGAUACGUAUUCAUGACUUGAUGAAUAGUACUAUUCACAUGAAUAGUGACGUAUGCAUAAAUAUGAACCAUUUUGGGUAAACCGUCACUAUAUACAAAAGGGAACCUGCAGUUCCUUAAACUCAUGGAUGAGCAAUUAAAUGAGAUGCCAGAAGUUCCUCAAAAUAUGGACAAUUAUGUAAGGGAUUGAAGUCCCGAAAGGACAAUCCUUUGACAUGUCAAUAUUGAUAUUAUGCACGCCUAAUGCGUAGCAAAUUAUAUGGGUUAAAGUCCCAGAAAUUAAUUGACAUGUAUGUAUUAAUCUGUGGCAUGCCUGCAGCAUGACAGAUAUAUGGGUGCACGCCUGUUGCGUAGCAAAUGAUAUGGAUUGAAGUCCUGAAAGGACAAUCCUUUGACAUGUCAAUAUUGAUAUUAUGCACGCCUAAUGCGUAGCAAAUUAUAUGGGUUAAAGUCCCAUAAUAUGGGUUAAAGUCCCAGAAAUUAAUUGACAUGUAUGUAUCUGUGGCAUGCCUGUAGCAUGACAGAUAUAUGGGUUCUAAAUGUUCCAACUCCCUAAAUGGAGAUUUUCCACGCCCUAUGUAAAAUAACGCUCCAAUGGAGGUUAUAAUCCACAUUCUCACAUAAUAAAAGCACCAUGAAGUGGCUUGGGUACCCAAAAGCAAAAGAAAUGCUUAUAAUUGAUGCAUGCGCAUGCACAUGAGAAUUGUGAGAUUAUGAAUUGAUGAAUGACAAUUUUUGGUUUUGGAGUAGCUACUCAAAUCAUCAAUGGGCUGUGUUGAUUGGAACCACGUUCAAUUAUUAAAUGUCGACAAUAUCAUUGGCCAAAAUGGAACGAGGUAAUUCCAUUAUAAAUGAGAAUGAACGUGAAAGAACAAACCCGCAAUACGAACCCCAAAAUUUGUUAAUACUUAAAUUUAUACUUGGGUGUUCGGAAUAAAAGGGAAUAUACCUACUUUGUAUGACACAAUGUUUCUGGCAGAAACAAUGAAUGUUGGGUCUUUUCCAUAUUUACAGAUUCAAUUGUGCCCCCCCCCCCCUUUCUGCACAAUUACGGAGACCAACAUAUUAUCUUUAAGGGUCAUUAAAUGCACAGAGCAAAUCGCCAGAAGCGAUUCCCUAAAGAUGUAUAAAUAGCUGGGUUAAAGCUAUAUAAUGUGUCAUAAAAUUUAAUCCCCUUUUUAAACAAAAUCCGUUGAGAGGAUUGACAUUGCAUAAAGCAAGUCCCUAAAGGACAUGUGCUUGAAGCACAAAAAUUUGUACUCAAUAUUAAUAUGCAUAAAUUACCUCAGUGAGUACAUUGAUUAUAAUGUGAUUGCAACACAUUAAAGCUUCUGCACCCAUUCACGAAAUAUUUGUCUCGAUCGAGCAUUAUACCAACGAGAUUCUUGCUUAUACUAAGAAAGUAUUGAAGCAUUUUUAUGAGGAUUAUCCGUUGGACACUUUAAGGAUUUUCCGGAAGUAUACUAGACCAGAUAGAGCUCAGCUCCACACUGUACUCUUUUUCCUUCAUCCAGGUUUUUAUCCCAUUGGGUUUUUCCUGGUAAGGUUUUAACGAGGCAGUGUCGCUCAAGGGUUUAGGGUAUACUAUGAAAAUUUUUAUGGUCGCUUACUGGACAAAAGAUAGUCCUAAAUUNNNNNNNNNNNNNNNNNNNNNNNNNNNNNNNNNNNNNNNNNNNNNNNNNNNNNNNNNNNNNNNNNNNNNNNNNNNNNNNNNNNNNNNNNNNNNNNNNNNNGGGGGAGAUAUUCACAAAGGGGAGCGUGGUUUUUAUAAAGACCUCCAUACACUGUACUCUUUUUCCUUCAUCCAGGUUUUUAUCCCACUGGAUUUUUCCUGGUAAGGUUUUAACGAGGCAGUGUCGCUCAAGAUUAACUCACAGAAGCAGUGUCAACUACGAUAUUCAGAAAGGUGAUCAACAGUAUGACUUCAAGAUAUUUUGUCAAGCAUCAGGGGGAGCGUGCAAUCAAUAAAGAUCUUCAAACACUGUACUCUUUUUCCUUCGUCCAGGUUUUUUAUCCCACUGGGUUUUUCCUGGCAAGGUUUUAACGAGGCAGUGUCGCACGCGCAUCAAUAUACACAGAAUUUUAUGUUACACAUGAUUAUGUACUCUUUUUCCCUUUGACCAGUUUUUUUGUCCCACUGGGUUUUUACUGGCAAGGUUUUUAACGAGGUAUAUUCCAUACCAUUUGUGGUCUCCAAGGGGGAGUGUUGUAAAUAUAUAUGGUGGAGCCCACCUCUUACCUAUAAAUAAGCCCCCUCCCCUUCUCUUUGUAAUAACAGAGAUGAGAUUGUAAACACACAGAAAUGAAUGAGAAUACAUUCCCUUCUCUCUCUCUCAAUUCUCUCCAAA